RNAcentral lists this ribosomal RNA (445 nucleotides) under uncultured bacterium. RNAcentral describes it as "bacterial SSU rRNA". It matches the Rfam family "Bacterial small subunit ribosomal RNA", at positions 354 to 796 of the family's 1533-position model. The record is from RNAcentral.
GUAAGGAAUAUUGGUCAAUGGAGGCAACUCUGAACCAGCCAUGCCGCGUGGAGGAUGAAGGUCCUCUGGAUUGUAAACUUCUUUUAUAUGGGACGAAAAAAGGCUUUUCUAAGUCGUCUGACGGUACCAUAUGAAUAAGCACCGGCUAACUCCGUGCCAGCAGCCGCGGUAAUACGGAGGGUGCAAGCGUUAUCCGGAUUCACUGGGUUUAAAGGGUGCGUAGGUGGGUUGGUAAGUCAGUGGUGAAAUCCCCGAGCUUAACUUGGGAACUGCCAUUGAUACUAUCAGUCUUGAAUACCGUGGAGGUCGGCGGAAUAUGUCAUGUAGCGGUGAAAUGCUUAGAUAUGACAUAGAACACCAAUUGCGAAGGCAGCUGGCUACGCGGAUAUUGACACUGAGGCACGAAAGCGUGGGGAUCAAACAGGAUUAGAAACCCCAGUAGUCC